RNAcentral lists this ribosomal RNA (1463 nucleotides) under uncultured eukaryote. RNAcentral's name for it is "SSU rRNA". It matches the Rfam family "Eukaryotic small subunit ribosomal RNA", at positions 83 to 1659 of the family's 1831-position model. The record is from RNAcentral.
GAAACUGCGAAUGGCUCAUUAUAACAGUUAUAAUUUAUUCGGUGAUGAAAUCUACAUGGAUAACCGUGGUAAUUCUAGAGCUAAUACAUGCUAAAAGGCCUUAACAGGUUGCAGUUAUUAGACUUAGAACUUUCUUUUUGGUGAUUCAUAGUAACUUGCGAAUCGUUUUGAUAGACCGUAUAAGUUUCUGACCUAUCAGCUUUGACGGUAAGGUAUUGGCUUACCGUGGCAUUCACGGGUAACGGGAAUUAGGGUUCGAUUCCGGAGAGGGAGCCUGAGAGACGGCUACCACAUCUAAGGAUGGCAGCAGGCGCGCAAAUUACCCAAUCCUGAUACAGGGAGGUAGUGACAAGAAAUAACGAAGCAGGACACAUUGUGAUUCUGCUGUUGGAAUGAGUGGGUUUUAAAAAUCCUCACGAGUAACAAUUGGAGGGCAAGUCUGGUGCCAGCAGCCGCGGUAAUUCCAGCUCCAAUAGCGUAUAUUAAAGUUGUUGCAGUUAAAAAGCUCGUAGUUGAAGUUGUGUACGUCGGAAUGGUGUGGCGAUUGUCAUGUCAAACUGUCGUAUAUUUCUCAGUUUUCUGAGACUGUUACUUUGAGGAAAUUAGAGUGCUCCAAGCAAGCUUUGCUUUGAAUACUUCAGCAUGGGAUAACAUCAUAAGACUUUGGCUUUUGUUGUUUGUUCUGUGGCCAAGGUAAAGAUUAAUAGGAACGGUUGGGACAUUCGUAUUAAACAGUGAGAGGUGAAAUUCUUAGAUCUGUUUAAGACGCACUAAUGCGAAAGCAUUUGUCAAGGACGUUUUCAUUAAUCAAGAACGAAAGUUAGGGGAUCGAAGACGAUCAGACACCGUCGUAGUCUUAACUAUAAACUAUGCCGACUAGGGAUUGGGAGGCGUCCUUUUCGACUCUACCAGCAUCUUAAGAGAAAUCAAAGUUUUUGGGUUCUGGGGGGAGUAUGGUCGCCAAGGCUGAAACUUGAAGGAAUUGACGGAAGGGCACCACCAGGAGUGGAGCCUGCGGCUUAAUUUGACUCAACACGGGAAAACUCACCAGGUCCUGACGUAGGCAUGAUUGACAGAUUAGUUGUUCUUUCUUGAUUCUACGGGUGGUGGUGCAUGGCCGUUCUUAGUUGGUGGAGUGAUUUGUCUGGUUAAUUCCGUUAACGAACGAGACCUCAGCCUGCUAAAUAGGGUUCAGCGGUUCGCCGCUGCAACGCCUUCUUAGAGGGACUUUGGGUAUUAAACUCAAGGAAGAUUGAGGCAAUAACAGGUCUGUGAUGCCCUUAGAUGACCUGGGCUGCACGCGCGCUACAAUGGUUCGGGGAGCGAGCGUAUCCUGUUCCGCAAGGAAGGUAAUCUUGUAAAUCCGAAUCGUGAUCGGAAUCGAUUCUUGUAAUUAUUAAUCGUGAACGAGGAAUUCCUAGUAAGCACGGGUCAUCAACUCGUGCUGAUUACGUCCCUGCCCU